UGAUCCAGGGAGGUAGUGACAAGAAAUAACAACCUAUGUCCUUAUGGACUGUGGAUUGUAAUGAGUUUAAUUUAAAACACUGAACGAGGAACAAUUGGAGGGCAAGUCUGGUGCCAGCAGCCGCGGUAAUUCCAGCUCCAAUAGCGUAUAUUAAAGUUGUUGCAGUUAAAAAGCUCGUAGUUGAAUUUCUAGGCAGUAGCUACUCGGAUUUCAAUUCAGUAUCUGCUGUCUAUCCGACACUGAACUAUGACGGGUAUUAAGUUAUCCCCAUAGCGAAUUGUCAUUUUACUUUGAAAAAAUUAGAGUGUUUCAGGCAGGCAAUUGCCCGGAUAUCUUAGCAUGGAAUAAUGGAAUAGGACUUUGGUUCAUUUGAUUGGUUAUUGAAUCAAAGUAAUGAUUAAUAGGGACAGUUGGGGGCAUUAGUAUUUAAUUGUCAGAGGUGAAAUUCUUGGAUUUAUUAAAGACUAACUUAUGCGAAAGCAUUUGCCAAGGAUGUUUUCAUUAAUCAAGAACGAAAGUUAGGGGAUCAAAGACGAUCAGAUACCGUCCUAGUCUUAACUAUAAACUAUACCGACUCAGGAUUGGCGAUGUUUCAACUUCGUCAGCACUGUAUGAGAAAUUAAAGUCUUUGGGUUCUGGGGGGAGUAUGGUCGCAAGGCUGAAACUUAAAGGAAUUGACGGAAGGGCACCACCAGGAGUGGAGCCUG
This 707-nucleotide ribosomal RNA is filed under the name uncultured apostome ciliate. RNAcentral describes it as "SSU rRNA". It matches the Rfam family "Eukaryotic small subunit ribosomal RNA", at positions 452 to 1185 of the family's 1831-position model. Lineage: Eukaryota; Ciliophora; Oligohymenophorea; Apostomatida. The record is from RNAcentral.